AGAGCGAACGCUGGCGGCAGGCCUAACACAUGCAAGUCGAACGGACCUUUCGGGGUUAGUGGCGGACGGGUGAGUAACACGUGGGAACGUGCCUUUUGGUUCGGAAUAGCUCCUGGAAACGGGUGGUAAUGCCGAAUGUGCCCUUCGGGGGAAAGAUUUAUCGCCAUUAGAGCGGCCCGCGUCUGAUUAGCUAGUUGGUGAGGUAAAGGCUCACCAAGGCUACGAUCAGUAGCUGGUCUGAGAGGAUGACCAGCCACAUUGGGACUGAGACACGGCCCAAACUCCUACGGGAGGCAGCAGUGGGGAAUCUUGCGCAAUGGGCGAAAGCCUGACGCAGCCAUGCCGCGUGAAUGAUGAAGGUCUUAGGAUUGUAAAAUUCUUUCACCGGGGACGAUAAUGACGGUACCCGGAGAAGAAGCCCCGGCUAACUUCGUGCCAGCAGCCGC
Molecule: ribosomal RNA, 446 nt
Filed under: uncultured bacterium
Lineage: Bacteria
Description: SSU rRNA
Rfam family: Bacterial small subunit ribosomal RNA
Source: RNAcentral